UAACUAAUAGGGUCAUAACACUCAAAUGUCGUUAUGCAGUUGACCAAACUAUAAAGCGUUGAGCUCUGUUAAGAUUUCUGCCACUUUAAUUGAAUAGGGCUCAAUAUUUUAUAGCUAAUUUCUGUGGAACGUUUAAACAUUUUAGGAACCAUACAAUAGCGUUAUGACGUUAUUGACGUCAUGACGUUCUGGUGGGUGGGUCUUAUCUCUCCCUCAGGAAAAAUGGAGUCAGCCAUCUUGAAUUUGCCCUCAUGCGGGAAAGUUUUCGCCAGCACGUGUUGAUAUGGAACACAGUUUAAUUUGUUUUAAUCUGUUUGGAAUGUGCAAUUUUACACCACCACCCCCCCCCCAUUCAAACCACCACUACCUUAGUUAUUAUCAUUAGUCUUAUUGCCCUCGUCUUCUUAAGCGCCGUCUUAUCAUCAGCCCUGAUUUGACAUACGUGUGUGGCUUUGAGAUCAUCUCGACAUUUUUUAACAGUUCAGAUAUCGGACUACAGAGAGUGUUACAGAGGGUCAGCGUUUCACCAUCAGACAGGUGCCAACAGGCUGAAGUUGGCCUAAUGGAGUGGAAGUUUUCCGGAAUACCCCCAGGACCUGUUUAUGAAGUUUACUUGAGUUGUUAUUCUGCAAACUGACAUGUAGAAAUUACAUAAAUGAAAAGUCAGCGGAUGGUCCAGACCUCACUGACACUCCGGUGGCUCUCCUGACAGUCGUCAUGGAUGACCCUACUGAUGCGGCCCUCUUCAGCCCUGAGAGCAUCUGUACUGUCGUGGAGGAUGAAAUACUUAGAUGUACAAGUCCUGAAGGUUGGGCAGGUGAACCUUCAGGACUUGUUGGAGAUGGAAGUACAACCUCUGCUGGGCCUUUGAACGUCCCACUUCAGGUCCUGGGAGACUGUGGUUCCUACAGUAGGAACGCGAAUGACUUCACUAUGAUAGUCUACUAUCAUCUCUACAGUUUUGAGCAUGUUCAGCUCCAGGUUGUUGUGACUGCACCAGACUCGUCUCCGUCCUGGAUGAGACUGAUGACUGUAGGGUCAUCUGCGCAUUUCAGGAUCUCGACAGAGGGGUGUUUAGAGGUGCGGCCACAAUCAGUGUUGUAAUUUUAACCCCAGUCUACACUUAACCCCACCAACACCUUCUCUAGUACCUAUGGGAUCAUGUGGAGGAUCAUCCACAGCUUAGACUCCUCUGCUUCCACCCACAUGUUUCUCCAGCUGAUCAACAGCCAUGUUUACACAAAUAAUCACAAUCAUUGUGACGGCGAUUUUUAUAUCGUAUCACAGCAAAAUGUAAGAUAAUUAGUUUAGAUUUAAGAACUAGAAACAAGUACGAUGAUCAGAAUGCAUCUGGACUCUGAGCGCAGCUGAUGGAGAACAAACUUCUCUCUGCUCGUACUGUCAGACUUCACACUUUUAUUGGGACAAAAAUGUUCAAGCUUUUUGUUACAUUUGUGUUGCAUCUCACUGACCCUUAGAGAAAGAGACGAUGGAGAGUCGCUGCAUUUUUCUAGCAAGAAAACCGAGUCGAGCAUCACUAAGAUGUCCACACAGACUGAUCACGGCGUCCCUGGCGGUGUCCAGACAGAUGUUACACUCGAACGUCGCCCUUUCCCGUUGCUCCCGCUCGCCCUCACCGCCGCUCCCUCCGGACCGCCCGCCGUCCCGGUCACUGCUGCUCUCCCAAUAGUAUUAAUAAUACUAUUAUUAAUUAAUAAUGAUUUUCAUUCAGCAAUUAAAUCGUUAAAGCCAUAAAGUACGUCUUAAACACAGGGAGAGUCUUUUUGUGGGAUUACAAUCCAAACAUCUUCCUAAAAACAAUCAGAGGUCAAUAUGUUUACCUCACAAGUGUGUGUGUGUGUGUUUGUGACUAUGUGUGACUGUGUGUGUGUGUUUGUGACUAUGUGUGACUGUGUGUGUGUGUGUUUGUGACUAUGUGUGACUAUGUGUGUGUGAGUGAGUGUGUAAG
Tachysurus fulvidraco (yellow catfish) is the source of this 1969-nucleotide long non-coding RNA. RefSeq lists it as uncharacterized. Lineage: Eukaryota; Metazoa; Chordata; Actinopteri; Siluriformes; Bagridae. The record is from RefSeq and is a predicted model, not a curated record. The transcript has 7 exons.